UUUUCUUUUUUUUUUUUUUCUCCUUUUUUCCCUUUUAUAUAUUUGUGUUUGUCAUGGUACAAACCACACAAACAGCCUAUUAGCUAAUGUGAUGAGACAAUUGUUUACAUCUGAGUAUCUGACCCUUUUUAGGGCUUUUAAGGGGUUGGUGGGUGUGUGUGUGUGUUUGUGCGCAUGUUAGAUUUUCAUCUCUCCAUCCCUUAUUCUUUUAUAUAUCAUGUAGCUUCUCAAGUUAGCUGUGCAGAUGUUAAAUUUGUUGUCAAUUUCCAUGUGUCUCUUCCUCUUUUAAUUUCUUCCUUUUUUCCUUUUUUUGGGUUUAUUCUUUUCCUAUGGAUCGAGGGAUGAUUUAAGCCUAUGCCCACAUGUCCAAAAUAGUUUCUGCUCAUUGCCUUUGCUAUCGUGCUGUUGAACGGACGGAUCCGGUGCGACGCUUUGCCAUUUCACUCCCUAGUGAUUAACAUAGUGGAUGGUUUCAAAACCUCAUUUUCUUGUAUUUGUCUCAUUUCCUUGUUGUAGAUCUGAUAAAUUGUUUAUAUUUUUGCAGGAGUGUUUGGAAAAGUUCCAGAAGAUACAUUUUGCCUUAUAGAAGUCUCUUGCAAUUGCACCUUUGACCGAUGUUAAAAUUGAGCAGGAUGACAGUGACAUAGUUUCCAUUUGUAGAUUUUGCAUUGCAGGGGUGUCCUUGUAAUUAUAUUGGGCAGGCUAACUACAAAAUAUAUGUUAUUUUGUGGUCCUGCUUUCCAUUAUACUGGCACAUGUCUGGAUGCUUUUGAUUGUGUUUUAUUUAUUCUUCUUUUGUCAGAUUUACUUAAAUGGUAUAAUAAUAGUUAUAAUUAUUUUUGGAGGAUGUCUGAUAUUGGUGUUGAAUUUUUAUCUUAUUGUUGUUUGAUUCGCUGGGAGUUGAAAUAUUGUUAUGUGGGUG
Molecule: unclassified non-coding RNA, 922 nt
Filed under: Hevea brasiliensis (rubber tree)
Lineage: Eukaryota; Viridiplantae; Streptophyta; Magnoliopsida; Malpighiales; Euphorbiaceae
Source: RNAcentral